RNAcentral lists this ribosomal RNA (245 nucleotides) under uncultured bacterium. Its description in RNAcentral is "partial 16S ribosomal RNA". It matches the Rfam family "Bacterial small subunit ribosomal RNA", at positions 524 to 768 of the family's 1533-position model. The record is from RNAcentral.
UACGUAUGUGGCGAGCGUUGUUCGGAGUUAUUGGGCGUAAAGGGCGUGUAGGCGGCUCAUCAAGUCUGGUGUGAAAUCUCUGGGCUUAACCCAGAGUAUGCGCUGGAAACUGGUGGGCUUGAGUUCUUGAGGGGAAGCUGGAAUUCCAGGUGUAGGGGUGAAAUCUGUAGAUAUCUGGAAGAACACCGGUGGCGAAGGCGAGCUUCUAUCAGAGGACUGACGCUGAGGCGCGAAAGCGUGGGGAG